AUCCUUCACUGCUCGGAUGGUCCCCCCCGUUGCAUUAGCUUGUUGGUGGGGUUACGGCUCCCCAUGGGGAUUGAUUCGUAGCCGGCUUGAGAGGGUGAUCCCCCCCCUGGGACUGAGACCCGGCCCCGACUCCUACGGGAGGCACCCCUAGGGAAUCUUCCGCAAUGGACGGCAGUCUGACCGCCCACCGCCCGCCUGAGUGAAAAAAGGUCUUCGGAUCUUAAAACUCUGUUGUACGAGGAGAACGAGUGUUAGAGUAAAAAGUUGCUCGCUUGGGCGGUUUCCUCCCGAAUAGCGCCGGCUAACUUCGUGCCAGCAACCCCGUUAAUACGGGGGUCCCGAGCGUUUUUCGGAUUUUUUGGGCGUAAAGCGCGCGCAGGCGGUUUGAUAAGUCAGAAGUUAAAUCCCCGGGCUUACCCCGAGUGCCCUUUGGAAACUGGGCAACUUGAGUGCAAGAGGGGAGAGUGGAAUUCCCCGUGUAGGGGUGAAAUGCGUAGAUAUUUGGAGGAACUCCCGUGGCGAAAGCGGCUCUCUGGGUCGUAACUGACCCUGAGGCUCGAAAGCGUGGGGAGCAAACCGGAUUUGAUACCCUGGUAGUCCCCGCCGUAAACUUUUAAUGGCUAGGUGUUGGAGGGCUCUUUCCCGGGCUUCAGUGCCGCAGCUAACGCAUUAAGCCGCUCCCGCCCUGGUGAGGGCCCC
RNAcentral lists this ribosomal RNA (699 nucleotides) under uncultured bacterium. RNAcentral's name for it is "partial 16S ribosomal RNA". It matches the Rfam family "Bacterial small subunit ribosomal RNA", at positions 207 to 873 of the family's 1533-position model. The record is from RNAcentral.